GACGAACGCUGGCGGCGUGCUUAACACAUGCAAGUCGAGCGGAAAGGCCCUUCGGGGUCCCCGAGCGGCGAAGGGGCGAGUGACACGGUAACAACCUGCCCCAGUCCCUGUGAUAACGGUCGGACAUGGGGGCUCAGACCCGAUACGAGACAACUUCGCUGAGCGUCUGGGUGGAAUGUUUUUCGGUUUGGGUUGGGCGCGUGGCCUAUGAGCUUGUUGGUGGGGUGCUGGCUUACCAAGGCGAGGCCGGGUAGCCGGCCUGAGAGGGGGACCGGCCACACGGGGACUGAGACACGGCCCAGACUCCUACGGGAGGCAGAAGUGGGGAAUAUUGCACAAUGGGCGGAAGCCUGAUGCAGCGACGCCGCGUGAGGGAUGACGGCCUUCGGGUUGUAAACCUCUUUCAGCAGGGACGAAGCGUAAGUGACGGUACCUGCAGAAGAAGCGCCGGCCAACUACGUG
RNAcentral lists this ribosomal RNA (462 nucleotides) under uncultured bacterium. RNAcentral describes it as "partial 16S ribosomal RNA". It matches the Rfam family "Bacterial small subunit ribosomal RNA", at positions 28 to 507 of the family's 1533-position model. The record is from RNAcentral.